This 253-nucleotide ribosomal RNA is filed under the name uncultured bacterium. RNAcentral's name for it is "partial 16S ribosomal RNA". It matches the Rfam family "Bacterial small subunit ribosomal RNA", at positions 524 to 776 of the family's 1533-position model. The record is from RNAcentral.
UACGUAGGGUGCAAGCGUUGUCUGGAAUUAUUGGGCGUAAAGAGCUCGUAGGCGGUCUGUCGCGUCGGCUGUGAAAACUCGGGGCUCAACCCCGAGCCUGCAGUCGAUACGGGCAGACUAGAGUGCUGUAGGGGAGACUGGAAUUCCUGGUGUAGCGGUGAAAUGCGCAGAUAUCAGGAGGAACACCGGUGGCGAAGGCGGGUCUCUGGGCAGUAACUGACGCUGAGGAGCGAAAGCGUGGGGAGCGAACAGG